AUUUAGUAUUACCUGUAUAUCUAUCAGUCGUUUAGUUUUUUGUGAUCAUAUUUUUGCCGAAAUCUUAUUUAAAAUUUCAGCUGUAGUUUUAACUAUUCAUCACUAGAUGACAGUGUUUGUCAAGUAGGCACAAAGUGGUGAAAAGUUCUGUGAGAGCUGAGGUCCUGUUCUUCCAACGUCAGCGUCGGCAGGUUGCUAUUCAAAGCUCUGCAUGUGUGGAGGAUUAGGGGGAACAUCUAUGCAUCUGUGGAGCAUCGAUAAAGCAGUGACUGUAUCAUGGCAGCUUUACAAUCCUUCAGCCGGGGAGCUGAUGGGCUCAGAUGUGAAGGAGGCCGGCUUCAUUAUGACCCCAAAGCCCUCAGUUAUUGCAAAUACUUCAGGAAAAGCCUAAAAAGUCCUGAUGCGCCAACGAGCACUGUGUUCAUUAGCCGCUGCCAGUCGGACAGUGAGCUGGAGGUCGUUGGAGGCAGCGGAGCCAGAAGCUGGGAAGGUCGCACAGAUCUGCAGGGUCACGGCAGCUAUAUGUGGGCCGGCCCAGUGGGAAAGUAUAAUGAAGCCAGCCAGUUUAUGCAAAUUUAAUCACAUGAGGGAGUGUGUGGACCUGAAAUGCUUGUUAGCUGUGGAACAGACAAGGGCAUCACCCAACUCAUGUCUCUUCUUUGGCUGACGUACAGUAUUAUGUUUCCUCACAUACACUCAGACAGCAGAAACUUGGGAGGACAAACCUGUUGUCAUCAGUCUUGCUCCUCUCGCUGCCAGAACUGGCUGGACUGCUCUCACACAUGGGCCCAACAUGACUUAUACUGUACAAAGGACGAAAGACGGAGCACAGAUGAGCUCAAGUUAACUAGUGGAGCCGUUGAUGCAGGAACAGCAGAGGGAGGAAGGCUUCAUUCCACUGAUUUCAACUGCGAUGAGUUGCUUUGGAUCAGUACAUUUUUCAUUUCAUUUAAUAAGCUCUUGUUUAAGCUACUGCUAAUGCUUAAAGUCCACAGAAACUUUUCACGCAGCCGAGUCCAAUUUUAACAGCUGCUGAUCGAGUUGCUUUUAUUCUCAGUUAACUUCAGCUUUGGACCCAAAACAGGAGGAAUUAGAAACAACAAACAAG
This is a long non-coding RNA of Betta splendens (Siamese fighting fish), 1108 nucleotides long. RefSeq lists it as uncharacterized. The transcript is spliced from 3 exons. Lineage: Eukaryota; Metazoa; Chordata; Actinopteri; Anabantiformes; Osphronemidae. The record is from RefSeq and is a predicted model, not a curated record.